RNAcentral lists this small nuclear RNA (107 nucleotides) under Cebus imitator (Panamanian white-faced capuchin). The record is from RNAcentral. Lineage: Eukaryota; Metazoa; Chordata; Mammalia; Primates; Cebidae.
GUGCUUGCUUUGGCAGCACAUAUACUAAAAUUGGAACGAUACAGAGAGGAUUAGCAUGGUCCCUGAGCAAGGAUGACACGUAAAUCUGUGAAGCAUUCCAUAUUUGA